RNAcentral lists this ribosomal RNA (253 nucleotides) under uncultured bacterium. RNAcentral's name for it is "partial 16S ribosomal RNA". It matches the Rfam family "Bacterial small subunit ribosomal RNA", at positions 524 to 776 of the family's 1533-position model. The record is from RNAcentral.
UACGGAGGGUGCGAGCGUUAAUCGGAAUAACUGGGCGUAAAGCGCACGCAGGCGGACUUUUAAGUGAGAUGUGAAAUCCCCGGGCUUAACUUGGGAAUUGCAUUUCAAACUGGGAGGCUAGAGUCCUUUAGGGAGGGGUAGAAUUCCACGUGUAGCGGUGAAAUGCGUAGAGAUGUGGAGGAAUACCGAAGGCGAAGGCGGCCCCUUGGGAAUGUACUGACGCUCAGGUGCGAAAGCGUGGGGAGCAAACAGG